RNAcentral lists this long non-coding RNA (26791 nucleotides) under Musa acuminata (dwarf banana). Its description in RNAcentral is "long non-coding RNA (MACU_LNC003196)". The record is from RNAcentral. Lineage: Eukaryota; Viridiplantae; Streptophyta; Magnoliopsida; Zingiberales; Musaceae.
CAUCUGCUGUGGUGCUAAUAACUAUACCCCGGACGACUAAUUUCGUCGACGUUGCUCGAUUGGACAGUCCUCGAAGUCGAAUGGAAGCACAGGAAUGCAGUAUUGACCAUGGCUAAGGAAACUCUAAUCAGGGAUCUCAUCUCGUCUCGUCACCCCCAAGGCUAUCUUUAUCCGGUCUGCUCCACCCACACGCUCAGGGCCCAAAACCCUAGAUGCCCCCUCCCCAAAGUACAGAGAUCGCCUCCCGAGCAAAGGGAGAGAGAGAGGCAACUGUGUGGACACAGUAACUCACAGGACAUGACGAGGGUAGCUGCCGAGAGACACCGACCAAGGGCCCGUCGGCUAGGCUUUUGGGGCACAUGCACAAGGAAGCGGGUUGGCUUUAGAGAUCGGUGCAGCUUGGACCCUUUUGCGGCACUGCACCAAGCUUUGCCUUCCUCGUUCGGUCCCAUCCUCGCCUGCUCACUGUUGCUUGAUCACAAAAAGCCACGGGAAGCAGACUCACCUGUGUUCAUCACAGGAGUUUCUUUAUUAACGUCUUGUACUUGCACAAUAUACAAUUGCCUUCCUUUGUCAUGUCCGGCACCACCUUUGCCGGGGAAUCCAAAACAAAAGUAUGGCGGUAGAUGUUUAUGAAUCACCAGCUUCAGCUGAUAACGUGAUUCCAUCAUGUGUUGCCUUCCGAACAGUGUCGUGCAUUAGCAGCUUAUAAUCAAAUCGACCGACAGCGGCUCUUCGGCUCAAAGAACGCAGCAAGUUCCAACCAUCAGCAAAGUACUGCUUGUCUGCACAAUUAUGAUGUUGAAUGCCAUUUGUUAACAUUAGAACUACAUCAAAAGCAAAAGGGCAGAAAAAGGUUCUUUGUAUCUGGUUUGACUGCCAGUAGCUUUAAGAAUAGUUUAAAGGAGCUCCAUGAUCACUUAGGGUGGACAAUGAACAUGCAGUUCAGAGAUCUGGUCUCAAGAGCCUUGUAACCUAAUUAAGAAAAACCCUGGUCGAUAGAAGCAGCGGAAAACCUUGGAAGACACAGAAUGAGGUGACACCGAACAGUGUGGCACAUGGAGGGCCCUUUUGAGGAAGUGUAAUGGGGAAUCUUCAUGACAGGGAUCAUCUUUGUUUGAGGAGAGCGACUUCAUGACAUUCUCAUCUUUGACAGUGCAAUUGCUUAAAGUAUGACAACCUGACAAACAAACAUCACUCACUGGACCUUUUUGACUAAGGUCACCAACCAAGAUGCUUCUGUUUGCUUAAUGAAGCAUCAUCUCCUGUCUCAUGCCCUCGUUUCUAGGGUGAUGUUUAGUAUUGGUGAAAGUGCAUGGAUGACAGAUUUCUCUUGCAGAUUAUUCUGAUUCCAUUCGGGCGGUUUGUCCAUUUGCCGCCGUAUGAUGGAUCCACACACACACAUCAGUAAAUUAUAAGGAUGAUUUUGUUCCAAGGUAACUCCAAGAGGAGCAGCAGAACUGCUGUAUGUUAAGCUGGGAAUAGUUCUGAUGACCAGAAGAAGAUGAAGACUGCACCUCUCUCGAUGCGAUCAUGUUAUCCUGUUUCGGGUAAUGGGAAUGUCGAUCGAUGGCCUGCCUUGUACUGAUUUGUUGCAUGGAGUUACGUAGCAGUCAUGCAUGGUGAGCUGAGCUGCGGUAAAACUCCCAUGGAGAGGGAAGACGACCGACUCUCCCACGGAUUUAUCUCGAGGACAAGGACAAACCAUGCGUAAUGGUGAAGGCGACAGAGGCGACACCAACAAGCCUCCGCAGUCUCCGCUGUCACAUCGGGUUCUGAUGUGAUAAGACGGCAAAGCCAGCCGAACUUUGGGCCAACCCUAUGCCUGCAUCCUUCGCCACACCGCGUAUAUGCUUCUGCUGCCUUCAUCUGAACCUGUCAUUUCCUUCUUCCCAUGGGUUCUCUGUGCCCAUGCGUGCGACGUCAGCCCUAAUGAUUCGGUGCUGCGGUUCUUUGACCAUUCGGUCUCUCGGUCUUCCCACAUCCCCACGCUUCGCAGCGCCCCCUUCACACUGCAAUUGGACACCCAACAUAGGAAACAUUAGACUUCCAAGGUCAAUGUUGACCAAAAGAGCCCACAUCGCAUGCAAUAUUUCAUGAGAACCAUGUGGAAGAUAAAAGGUAGACGGUGUCAUUUUGGUCAUUUGAGUUUGUCCUAAGCAAAAGAAGACAGCCCCUUAUCCUCUCCAACAAAGCUAUCUAUAAAUACCUCACCCCACGCUUGUGCUGUUCAGGCAUAUGCGCAUAGUGUUCGAUCUUUUUCGAUCUUUCUCUCUCUUCUCACAUCUCUUGCACUCGCCAUGGACGGCCGGAACGGCAGCCCAAACCGCGGUCUCGCCGGCGCGGAGCCCGUGCGCUCCCGCUGGACCCCGAAGCCGGAGCAGAUCCUCAUACUGGAGUCCAUCUUCAACAGCGGCAUGGUUAACCCCCCCAAGGAUGAGACGGUGAGGAUCCGCAAGCUCCUCGAGAAGUUCGGCUCCGUCGGCGACGCCAACGUCUUCUACUGGUUCCAGAACCGGCGGUCAAGGUCCCGCCGCCGGCAGCGGCAGCUGCAAGCCGCGGGCCUCGCGGCGGAUCCCGGAGCUGCGAUGCACGCACGCCAGGUCGGUGGUGCAGCUCUGUAUGAACCGACCUCGACCGGCAUGUCAUCGAACAACUCGUCUGGUGGAGGCAGGCUCUUUGCUUGCUCUUCUUCUGCUUCUUCUUCUUCUUCUUCCUCCUCCUCAUCCUCUAGCCUUGUGGGGGAUGAUGGAGGUGCCGAUGAUCUCUUCUUCUCUCGCCAGAUGGGCUUCAUGGAGAGUUGCCAGAAUCCUUUUAUGUGCUAUCCUGACGUCGGUCCAAUGAACUAUCAGCCUGGUUAGCGCAUGGCUUUGUGCUUACUCCUUUUGCAUAAGAUUUUAGUGGGUGCUCAUUGGAGAUAUAUAGUAGUAAGAUUUACUUACACAUAUCACAACUAAAUUAGGAUUAUAUUUAUUGUUUGGUUCUCGAAUUCGACAGCUCGACAAAAAGGAUUAUGUCGACCUAAAAGCAAAUGAUUUGUGUUUCUCUGCUCAACUAAAAGCAGCUCCUUCUUUUGGAGUCAGAAAGAAGCAUGUUAUCAAGCACUCUCAGCAUCAACUAAAUCGAUCGUUUCAUGUUUUCUAUCGAUGAUGCCUGUUCUUCUCCUAAUGUCUUGUUGUUGUUUUCUUCUGUUGCAUCGAUGAGAAGCAUGCUAAAGAUUAUUUUGAGGCAAUAACAAGUGAAAUAUUGAGUUCACCAACUGCAUGUUUGAAUGCAGGGACCAUCACUGUCUUCAUCAAUGGGAUCCCAUCAGAAGUUCCAAGAGGACCUAUAGACUUGAGAGCUAUGUUUGGCCAAAAUGUGAUGCUCGUCCACUCCUCCGGAGAGCUUCUUCCCAUCAAUGAAUACGGAAUUCUACUGCAGAGCUUGCAGAUGGGUGAAAGCUACUUCUUGGUGAGCUUCUCAAAACAAUUAAUGCUUCUAAUAUCCAUUUCUCUCUCUCUUUCUCUCUCUCGCUGUGUGUGCACAUGUGUGUAUACACAUAUCUUCAUGUUUAUCCGAAGAACAAGACAUACCCCAUGGUGUGAAUAGUAGUACAUGGAAAUGUGAUCUACUUCAUUCCAGCUGAAUGAUCAGAUUUUAUAUCACAUAUAAAAGUUUUUAUCUUUAUUUGAUGCUUGUGUGUUAUUUAUGAUUUGGAACUAUAUGCUAUGCCAUCAAAAUAAGUUACUUCUUAUCCAUCUUCAAGCUUAGAAAGUCUCAAAUAUAUGAUAUUUCACUCAGAGACCAUUUAGUAUUCCAUGUUCAGUGGAGCUGAUGUUGGUCUGAACACUUCUGCUUUCAUGCAAUGAUAAAGUUCAUGAGAUAGAUUAAUAUGAUUUUUACCUCUUGACAGGUAUCAACAUCUACUUAACCCAUGAGAAAUGGCAUCAGCAGAAUCAAAUGCCUCUUCCAGUGAUCACAAUUUCAGAAGCAAUCUCACCUCUUGUCCUAAUUUAAUGAUCUACCACAUCCUUAUGUGUCUAAUUAUUACCAUGGCUGAAGCUGUUUGUAGCUUUCCUAUUAUUAUUUAUCAUUAUGGUGUUGUAUGCACUUGAUAGUGUUUGCUGGAAUACAGAAAUCUUAAUUGUAUUUGCACCUUUGUUUCUUUAAUUGCAUUGGCAGAGUGCAUCAAAAACACUACAUCUUGGAACUACAGAUCUCCCAAGUGUUCUGGAUCUUACAAUUAAUUUGAUUGAAGGAGAUCACAUAUGUAAGAGGAUGGAUGUCUGAUGUCUUCAAUAAAAUUGUAUGCUUCAAAUUAGUUUUUGUUUGGGUACAGAAGUCCACUGCAAACUCUGUUUUCAUUUUGUUGAAAGUUCAUUUCACAUUCUAUCUACAUGAGUUGCCAACUUUAGCAUUCUCUAUUACAUGUGGAUCAUCUUAUCUAAGCCUCUUUGAGCAGCAUCUAAUUUACUUUAGAGGUGAAGAGUAAAUUUCAUGACACAGUCUGAAAUUUUCAUUGCUUUUGAGACCCACAUAUUGGCCUUGUCUUUGCUACUGUUUAGGUCCUACACAGGGAUGGACAUGAAAGAGAAGUACAAUACACCACAGGAAACAGAGAUGUUUAAGACCUUGUAGUUUUCUGAUGACUAAACAAGGAACAGGUGUUCUCUUCUUGCUAAGAGGAGAGACAGGAGUUUUCUUUUGAGAAAGAAAGGGUUCAGGAACUGUUUAGAACAAUUGGUCAUAAAGAAUGCAAAUGAGCCAACAAACAAUUUUGCGGCUGAGAACAAAUGCACUGCUUUAACAUCAUUUGGUUCAUAUGAAGAAGAAGAGAUGAAAUGCUGCUCUCUCUGGUAGUUUUCAGCAGAGCAAAGUGGCCUUGAUCUCAAACAGUUCUUCACCUUUGUCUGAGCUCAACAAGACAGAGUUAAUUAUCUGAAACAAAAGCCUUGCAGAGGUUAACACAGUUGCUUCAUUCCUUCUUUUUCAUGUAUCCAAUGUAUUGUUCUACCCAAAGAUUCUUCCCUUCCAACCUGGUUUACUGAUUCAGAUUCACAUGAGGAUCUUACAUGAUCUCACAUGGAAACUUGGGGGAAAAUGUAGCGGAUAAUGAUCUCUCAGAUGCAAUCAAGGAAUCUUAAUCUUCUUAUUGACUUGAUGCAGCUGGUAAAUAAAGUUUUACAUGUCACAUUACAAGGUUGCAUUUUUGAAGUAAAACUGAACUCUACAUGAGCUUCUCAGUAGCUUCAGCCAUCUGCUGAAUUGUACAGUCUUCAAUUCGCUGCGUCUUCCCGAACUAACAUCUCUCUCGUUCCGCCUUGAGAGAGGCAUAUCAGUGUGAUGGAGAGAGCAAGCUUUGUGCAAACCACCUUCCAAAGCAGUCUCUCUUUCAUCUCUCUCCCGCCAAAACCGCACCUCAGGGAACCUCCAUCCGCUCGGGUGUUCCCCGAUCCGACACCGCGGCCGGCGCAGACCACCGCUUUGGCCGCUGUGUGGACGACGCCGAGAUCAGCAUCUUCGACGCCGAGCGCUACUACAACGAAGGCCACGACGGCAUUAGCGGGACCGUGAUUCUCGACGGAGCGGGCGAAAGGUGCAACCUUUCCACCCAUGGAGGGAGUUCUCGUUCUCCUCGACCGAUGGCUACGCGAGGCACGGCCGAACGCGUUCGUUCUACUCGACUCCGACAGGCUCGUCGGAGGCCAGCUGGAAUAGCUAGUCGGGGCUACUCUCCCACCCCGCCGUGCUCCAUCGCUGUCGCCGCGAGCGCCUUGCUCUUGAACGAACCAGCGAAGCCGCCGUCCUUCCCCGCUUGCCGUCUCUUCGGCCGCAACUGCCCGUGUUAUGGGAGGAAGUCCGUCGACGUUGAUGAGACGUGCUCGGAACCCAAGAGCUCGAUUCGCUCUGGUUCGGAUUUGAACGCGUCGUCCACCGCCAAAAAUCGCUGCUUUAGAACAGGGGAAAUGGGCCUCAAUAGCUUCCCGGACAGAGUGAUGCCGGAAGAGACCAAGAACGAGUUCGGCUUCGAGGAGAUGAUAAAGGUUAGAUAAUUCCUGGAAAUCGUCUCAAAAGUCCCAGCUUCUUAGCUAAUUUGACUCGGUCCUUGCUUCCCGCCGAAGUUGGUUGCCGGAUGGUGAAUUCCAGCAGCCUAUUCGGCUAUUCCCAUGUCUUCUCCUGCCCCGUGUUGAAUCCGUCCUCUUUGAACAACCUCGCCGAAGAACCACCACGAGAAUCUCUGGAGGUCUUCCGGCCAACCAGGCAUACCGCAGCAGCGCUGAGCACACCACCGGAUUCACAACUUGCCGCCGUGGUUUUCCCAUUCUCCGACCAGGUAAACCGCCGAAGUUUCACCCGAAUCCCCCGCCAGACGACGACGUGGCGACCUACACAAGCUCAGACCUUUUCGAGAUCGAAAACUUCUCCACCCAGACGACCUACCGCCGACCCGACUCCCUCGACUCCCGCGACCAUCUCCGUGGGGGCCUUGAGGCGGAGGUACCGCCACCGUCCAAUGCGCCCAGCGAGGCGAGCGUCGAGUGGAGCGUCACCACCGCUCCUUCCGGGAGGAGCACGAGCGCUGCGCCGCCACGGGGGGGAGGCGGAGAUGCCGCGGUCUUCUGAGCUGCCGAAACGGCAAGGCGGUCAGCGUCGGCCCAAUCCCGCUGCGAUUAACAUCUCCGGUCGGAUCGAAUGCGGUGCGCAAACCCAAACCCGGUUCGAACGCCCUAAACCGGUCGGAGGCGGUUUAGAAGUCCAAAGUGACGUGUGUUGUCAUGAUUUCUAUUUGGAUUCUCUCAUUAAUAAUAAUCUAAUGCUGAAAAUUAUUGGAUUCUCUCAUUAAUAAUAAUCUAAUGCUGAAAAUUAUUGACUUUCGUAAUCUCUCUCUCUCUCUCUCUCUCUCUCUCUCUCUCUCUAUGUUUAUAACGUUUAGAUACUGCUAUUUAAUCUAUUGACUGUAUGCUGUGUGUCCUGCGGAGUACACAUCUUGUGACACGUACACCAACACGAAGGUAACUCCAACAAGGCCAAAUACCCUCAACUUUGUGCUGCUACAGCUAUCGAUUUCCAGAUUCAAUGUGUCACCGUCUUGUUAUACCUGCCUGCAUUGACAACACUGCUUGAUUAGAUUUCCAUGGCUGCACGACACCUGUUUGUAUAAAUGCACCAUCCAGCACCAGGCUAACAGAAGACUCCAAACAGGUGGGUCUCAAUCAGAUUCCACGUUGCCCCCGAAUCAUGGAAGGGUUUGAUGUGGUUCUUGAGCUUAGAGAAGACCACCUCCAUGAAUCAUGUCAUUUUGCUCACCUAACUGGCAUGUGGACCCAGCCUCAUGUCUCUCUGGAGCAGGACAAGCAGUCUGGAAACAGAUCCAUGCUUCUUUGGGUACGAGGAUAUAUGAUUCUGCUUUGCACCUUCACAUGUGGGUGACCUGCUCAGGGCCUACUGAUAUGGGGUAAACCUUUAAUCUUUUACUCGAUUUGAAGAAUGAGUUGAACAACCAUGACUUCUGAAACUUGCAUGUUUUAGUUACUGUACAUAUAUUUUGUUUACAUUGUGUUGUUGCUGGUUGUUCUUCUGGUCACUAUUUUGACAUUAGUUAUCUGUAGUGUCAUGACCAAAAGUAUCUUGAGUUGCAUUCUAGUGACAUAUAUCUAUAUGUAUAUAUUCAGCUUUUUGGAAUAAUUAUAGUUCUAGUUCAGUUCACAAUCACAGCUAAAGCUUUGCCUAUUGUAUGUGCAUCAAUCAUGCAUAAUACAGAAUUUCUGUAUAAUCAAUGCAUUUGUACCUGAAGUAGAAAUGUGAUGCUUUCAGAUUGUGUGCGCGCGCCAUGGAAUAGUUAUACUUCAUGGGUAGUUAGUACUUGAAACAUUUACCAGCUUCCGGUGCUAUCUAAAAGAAAUAGAAGAAGAAAAAUCUUAUCCAUGUUAGUUUGAACAGAACUAAGAACUCACAAAAAUGACUGCUUACAGUUGUGCCAUAAGUUUCUCAACCAUCCACAAUAACCUUUCUGAGAUGCAGAGAACUUACAUGUUUUAGAUGAGUAGGUUGGCUGGAUAUAGAUUAUAAGUUUGAUACUCCCUUAAUUUUGAAAGAUUUUGUAGCAGUAGCCUCAGAGUAACAGCACUCCAGUGAAAUGAACCGUCCAGGCAGUAAACUAUAGAUGUUUUGCUAAGGAAAGAAGGAAAAAAGUAUACCAUACGAUCGAUGGAUUUGACAUUGUCCAACCCUCACAAACAAUGAACCACACCAUUGCUAUUGGACUGAUUUUUAUCUGGUUUUCCCUUUUGUGAGCUGGUUUCAUGAUCGCAUUCACAUUACAAAAUUGCCUGAACAAUGACUCUUUGAUAUCUAAUACAUUGUUUUAGAUAUUGAAGAACCAAUCAUUCUGAUGCCAUGUUGUUGACAUUGAAAUAAGGGUAACAUAAAUCUCCAGUUCUGAAGACUCUCAUCAUUAUAUUGUUAGUUGUUUCAUUUAUUCUAGUGUAGAUUACAUAAUACAAUGUGAUCAUUAUAUGUUGAGGGAGAUUAAGAUAUUAUAAAGGCCAUCCAUGAGUUUGGUCCCUUCAUGAGGUAGUUCCUGCACAGUCUAGUUAUUACUGUUUUAUGAGAAUUAAAAGAGAGGGACAUUAAUUCCCACACAGAAUACCUGGUCAAACACUUGGGCUCUUGAACCUUUAAAAUUAUCAUCUUAAUAUAUGUUCUGAAGUUGAUUUAUGCAUCAUGACUUGCACUAGUGGAGCAACCAAUCCACUAGUAGACAAGCAAAUUAGCACCAAACAAACCAAUACCUGAACGCACUACUUCUUGCAAGAUGGAGAGUCAAUUAAACAUUCACAGAGAGACGAGAAGUAGUAUUGCAAAUUAAACCUGUCACAAACUACUACUCUUACUCCUGUAAUUAAUACACAGUAAGAGGCACAGUUCUUAGAGGUUCCAAUCCUUUUUGUUCUGCAUUUUUUUGCAAUUUAGUGGUUUUAACUUUGUCUCAGAAAAAGAAAAACACUAUUUUAUCUUUUGUUUUAUAGUUAGAGCUGAUGCUCCCUCUUCAGAACCAAACAUGGGCCAAGAAAUCGGAAGACUUUCUACUCUGUGUCAGCUUGAUGGUCUACAGUAGUGGAUAACUGUAGGGAUUAUUAGCCCAGGAGUACCCACAUGAAACCUUGUCUUGAAUUCCAUGGUGAAGGUUCUAUUGUGGCACUCCUGAUGACACACAAUAAAGGUCACUAAUAUCUAUAAAGACAUCAAUUACAGUUUAAAUCAUAGCUUAAAAGAAUUAUAAAUGACAGAAUUUUUGUAGGUUGAUAGGUUUAAUUGCUACAAUGUUGACAAAAUCAACACUUAAUAAGUAUAUGUUCUCUAACCUAUGGUGUUCCUCUAAUUAAAUUGAAAGUUGUAGAAAGCCACUUUGCUGACUUCAGCUCUAAGCAGAUAAUGCAUGUUGUUUAUAGUUGCUCAUCAGCCAAUUAGGAUGUAAUUCUAGAGCUAAAUGUAAACCACAUCUCUGUAAGUCAUACAUGUUGGAAUUGAAUUCUUUAUCUAGAACUGAACUUUCAUAUAGAUUAUUAGCUCACAUCCUUAUCAAAUGAGUCAUUUAGUAAUCAAGUGUCCAUGUUGUUGAUGCUGAAACUUCUCUGACACAGUCUAAACCUUAGAGACAUGUUCUUUGAGUUUAUCUGCAGAUCACAGCAAUGAGGGCCAAGAGAUGUUAUAUUCUGAUCAUGUAUUGGACCAACAGAAAAUUAUAUCCAAUCAAUGUCUGCCAAAGAAAGAAAACCACAGUUGAGGACAAGAUGGGUCUGAGCAAAACCAGUGGCUGUAGUGUGUUUGCAGCCACUGAUGAAAGCAAUCCUCCUAUCACAUCUUGAACAACUGGGACUGGAAUGGGCUGUCACUUGCUAUAUAAAGGUUUGCUUAUAGAAUCUUUCUUCCCCAGUAUGCAUAGGAUGAAGUGAUAGUUAGGUUCAGACCAAUAGAAUUUGUGUUCUCUAAUCUCUUUGGACCAGUCUCCCAUUUUGAUCAAAUUUUUGACAUGAUUAUAGAAGUGGAAUACAUAUUAAAAUGAAUCAAAUGAUGAUAGUGUUACAUGUAAAAGACACCAUACAGUCACAUCUCAAGGGACUUGAAUGUGUAUUAACUCUUCAAGCUCUCAAAGGGAGCCACAUAUUUUGGAAUGUGCCCCUUGAGCAUAUCCUCAAGGUGGCCCAUGCACAACUCUACCCUGUUCAUAUAUGGCUCCAAGUUGACUGACCUCAUCCUCAUCAUUUACAAGAACAUUUCACGUGUUGCAGAAAUGCUAUGCUUCUCACAGAAAUCUCAAUCUCAACCUUUUGGAUUGCCCCUUCCCUAGCAUGGCCCUCCUGAGUCAUGAAGUAAUAAGAUCAUAUCUAAUCUCAUGUUAAUUUUGAGAGUUAGAAAAUCAAGAUGUUGUAAGGGGUCCAUCCUAGAACAGACACUUCCUUGCGAGUUUCUGUGCUCGUAAUGAUGAAAACAAAUAAUGAUUUAUGUCAUGAUAUAUGAGAGAAACAUUGAUCCCGAAACGAAGGGAGUUUUGAUAAGAUCAUAUUUAGUCUCAUAUUAGUUAUGUCUCUAUCUCCUAGAGUUUGGGGGGCUUAUCCUAGAGCGGAUAAUUCCUAGGGUGCUUGCACCAGAUAAAACCUAUCUCUAAGAAGAAGAGUCACAUCAGGAAGGUCAGGUAGGACUUGGCAGGUUUUAAAAGGCACUUUAAGACUUUGAGCUGCCAAACUUUGCUUUAUCAACAGCACUGCAGAACAGGAGGAAUUAGAUGGCCUAUGCAACAUCAAGCAUUGUGGUGAGUUUUGAGAUAUGGGGACUAACAGCAACAACAUGAAGUUGUGCUUCAGAAGGUUUUCUCCCAACCUUCAUAAAUCAAGCGAUAAUUGGAACAUCCAUAAGGUAAUAAUAACCAGAGCACAUAAAUCAAAGACUUUAUUCAAGUAUUUUCAGCUGGAUUAAGUCCAUAAGGCAAUAGUAAUACUGAAUUGAACAAGGUAUAGAAAGGUAUGACAGUCAUACCUUCCGAUGAAGACAUUUAGGCACAAGAAUCAUUUGUUUGUAACCAAUACUAGAAGCCAAUAAAGUUAUGCAAAACAAUCCAUAUUGACCUAAACAACAGCAAAAUUACAUUUUAAUUACCACAACAUAAAGUUUAUACAUAAGUUGUCUAUCGAGAUUCUAUUGAGAGAUUGGAUCAAACUACUUGGUUCAUCAGUUCCUGCGAUUCAUACAAACCCUACAACAUGUACUCUCUCCAAGUCACUCUGAAAUACUAAUUCUUGCAUGGUCUACUAAAGAAGAAGAAACUGUGAUAUAGUGCAGCGAGAUCACCUGAACACGAGGUUUCUAUAUUGAGAAUCUACUCCACUGCAUCUUGCACGAUACUUUGAUCAUAUGAUCCAUUGGCUCAUAUUAUCUUGGUCAGGUCAUGACCACUUAUUUCAGUAGAACCAGCUGGAUCCAUCAUGCUUCUGCAGCGAACCCCCCAUUCCUCUCUGCGAUACAUCAGAAUAAUCCAUUGCAGGUAUGUUUAAGCCAGAUCUGAAUCUGAAGCCACCACUUAAUUCAUUGGGUUGGUUGCUGAAUUGUUGCCCGAAUGGCAUCAUGUCCUCACGGAGGAAGAACUGAGGUUGCUGAACCAAGCUGCCAACUUGUUCGAAGAGACUGCCACCCGUUCCUGUCUCCUGCCUGAAGAAGUUGUCUUCCAUCUGAAUUCUGCUCUGGAGAGAAUUUGACCCUUCCAACACAGAAACGCUUCCCAAAGUCAAGCUCUUGUUACCAUUAACAUUGUUGUCAUAGAAACCCAUCAACUCAUUGAUCGACUUUUGUCCAUCAGAAGGAAUUCCCAAAUCAGAGACAUGUACAGGAUUGAGGCUUGACCCGAGCCGAGUUGCAUUAGGUUGAGCAUUCGAUGACAUAGGAACAACCGGGGGCUUGCUCUCAUUCACCUGAAAGUUGUCAGAUAGCAUUGUGAGAGAUUGAGGAAAUGUGUUCUGAUACUUGCAGAGGUACUGGUGUCUGUUUCGAGCAUUCCUGUCUGUAAAUCCUUGGCGAAAAUCAUGGUGUGGGCACUUUGCAUUAUCGCAGGUGUAAACGCGCUGGUUCAGCAUCAGUUGUGGCUCAGCAGCAGUUCUCUUUUGGAUGAAAUCACAGUUGAUCUCUUCUUUCAUUGGCACGGAGAUGACAAACUUCUCGUUCCCCAUGGUUGCACUCAGGCUAAAAGUAUUUCCAUCAGCAGCAGGAUUCUGAAUUACUGCAUCCUCGCUCUUGCCUUCAUCAGCACCUUCUAUAUCAUAAUCGCUGCAGCUGCUGUUGAAGGAGAUGGCACUCCCGGAGGAUGGGGGAGGGCAAGUAUUCGGGUGCAGCUUCAAAUACACAUCCUCUUCCUGCUUCACAACAGCAAGCCAUGUUGCGAUCUCCUUAGCAGUCAUCUUGUCUUGAAGACACUUAGACUGCCUGACUAGCCGACGAAUCUUUUCGAUAUCAGGAGACAUAUGCUUGAUCACCGCAGUCAAGACGCUAACUUUCCAAGCCUUCUUCAGAUCAUGUGGUUUCUUGUAGGGUGGCGGGCCCUGAUCUUUCGGAAAACCCAAUUCAGGCCACCACUCCUCCCUUCCAGUAGGCCACCACGGCGGUGCAACUCCCUUCUCCAGGGGGAACCUCCGCUGUGGUGGGUCGCAGUGCUGCAUAAGAGCUGACAGGAGAGAGCCCAACGUGGUGUCCUGAAGCUCCUGCAAAGAAUGAGGGCUCACAGUCCCAGGGAUCGUCUCACUACUGGAUCCAGGGAUGGCAUUAUCGGCCUGGUACUUGGCUAUAGCCGCAGGUCCGUUCCUGUCAAACCUGACCUUCUCCUUCCACCAACCUCUAAGGUUGUCAGAGGCGCCGCUAACCGGUUUGCCCUUCUCUGGAAUAAUACCAUAAACGAAUCCCUGAGCUUGGCAUACCUCCAUCAUUUUCAGCAUGUACUUAAGGAUCCCGUCCUGUGCACGAGACAUCUUCUUUCGACGGGCUUGCUCCUGCGACUGAUGCUGCUUUGCCGUGUCCCCUUGCUCCUUGUUUUUGUUCUGUUGUUGUUCCCUCAAACGCUUCAAACGCAUCCGAUCCCUCCACAUGCGUCGUUCGAGCUCUUCUACGUCGAUAUCUUCAUCACUUUCUUCAUCACCAGCCUCAGCAAAGUUUUCGGGAGGAGGAUCUACCAGGUCUCCCUCUCCCACUAUGCAUUCACCCAAUGAAGGCUGAUGGAGGAGGCUACCAUAACUAAGAUUCUUCUCAUCAUUCGAGGCGAAAAGUUGCGCGUAAUUAGGACCUCCAGGAUACACCAUGCCCUCCAUUAAUAGCCCCCCCAUCAUCGCUAUCAGCCGAGGCGAUCGGAUCAGGUCUAUGUACUCGGAGUCGAAUGGCAGAUGCAAUAUUCACUGCAAGAGCAUGAGAAAUAAAGUUCAGGCAGCGGUAAUCCUCAACCAUAUCACGCUGUCGGGUGAUAUUAUUAUCUAGAAAACAUGUGACAUUAAGCAAUUUGAUGAAAACACAUGAUGAAUUUUCUUAACUUAGCCAAAGAAUCUAUUCCCGUAUCGCCAAAGUUAAUAUGCAUUUAUUAAAUUCAUUACAUGGAAAUCAAGAAUCAUCACGUUUUCCACAAGUAACAUAAAUGAGAAACAUGCUCCGCGAGUUCAUCUCGGAAGAAAUAUAUUUUGUAGAUGGCAUUAGUAGUAAGUAGUCUACGACAAGCAACCAACAAAGGUCGUUCAAGGAAACAAUUCGGUUCAGCAUCUCGCCGGGCACAUAGAAAGAUACAGUGCGAGAAAAUACUUUCUAAACAGAUCUUAAAACACAAAGAAUUCUAUAAGCUACUCUCUAUCCGAAAACGACAAACGCAGAUUAGAACAGCAAGCUUUACAGCCACAGCUCAUGAUUUAUGAUCCUCGUAAAAGAAUCGGCAUCAGAUCUGAUCCGCCAAAUUCUUGAUCAGAACAAUUGACAAUUCCCGAUGAUCAAUUAUUACUGUAAAUUGAGAAUCACUACCACCAACCAAUUGCCUUAUUUUAUGUGGAUCAGAGAAUGAUCAGAAGGCCAUGUUUCAAGAUCAGAAAAAGGAUAAGGCAACCUUUGUCUCCACAUAGUGUUACUAAUACUGAACAAGCACAUGAACAGUUCCCAAUCCAGCAUAAAGAUUAUAUUCCAUUGUCAUACAAAUUCAACAAGAUGCAGCAAAAUCAAUCAAAAGAUAACAUCCCCCUUUACCGAAUCUAAGAAAGAAAACAUCUAUGAAAGACCCAGCAGGAACAGUACAAUGAAUAUAGGAAACAUAGACAAAUAGAUGAACACCUUGUUGCUUACCAUAGAACAUGUAAAAGGAAGGAAGGAAAACUAACAAUAUCCCAAUCAGUAUGAAACGAAAAUGGAAGUAAAUUUGGCCACAUAAACAAGUAUCCAAGUUUCAAAUCCAUUCCCGAGAUCAAACAGAACCAAUAUGCUCAUCAGCUCGGUGGAUCUUAUCAGAUGCAACAUGAUAUAGAGGUGGAGAUUUUGUAUGCAAGACAGCAGGAAAUAACGAAGAUGAGAAGAAGCAGAAGAAGAACAUGCACAAACUUCACUCAGAACUUCUCUUCCUCACUGAGACCCAAAAAGGGACUCUAAUUCGUGUCUUUAGAUCGAACUAAAUCCUUUCUGCUUGUGGCGAAUGAAGCAAGCACUAAAUUGCCGAAAAAAUCUGUUUUUUCUCUUGUAGAAAACAAAAAAAAGGAAAAAAAAAUGUCAACUUUGAAGGAUUUUGUUGAGAGUUUUAUCGAUUCGUUUCAUUAUCGCUUUAAGUUUUCAACAGCAACAGAGAGAUAGAAAGACAAGAAAAGCAGAGAGAUCGAUGAUCUGUAGAAAAAACAGGGGAAGGAAAGGCUUGGAGCAACCAAAUCGACGCCAGAAUCCUUAAACCACCGAUCCACAGAAGGCAGAGAAGAAAGCAAGCAACCCUAGAGAUCAAAGUAGAAAUCUCAGCUACUCUCGAAAACCGAGAAAAGAAAAGGAAGAGCUGACUACGAGAAAGCCGAAACCAAACAGAGGUAGAAAUCAAUCGAAAAAGGAGUCGCCUUUACGAGCCAGGAGGACGCAAAAUCGCACCUUUUAGCUUCUAUCCCCGCUUCUGGUCUCCCCUUACGCCAAUAUUAGCCCAUACUCGCUCAUCUCCAACUCCGAGCAAAUUUUAGAUGGGCAACAGAGAUCACAGAUUUUUUAUUAGAGGAGGAAAGAAGCGGAGCUGGUGCUCUUCCCUUCCGCCGCUUUAUAGCCGUUCACUCUUCUUUGCCUCUUGCGUUCUCUCUCUUCCUUUUUCUCUCCGUUUCUCGCCAGUGGAAGGUGGGCUUGUCGGGGUCGCAUGUGAAACGAUAGAGGUCGCUGAUAUCGACGGGAGAGAGAGAGAGAGAACGGGUUAAAAAGAAAGAAGGAAAUGCUAAGUGAUGUGAGGUUGAUUGGAUGUGGAUAAAAGUUGUCCAGUAGUGGAGACGGAAAUCUAAGACGGAGCCAAAAGCCUACAGUGAUGGAGUCGACGUUGCUGCAAUGCCUGCCUUCCUGGAGUCUUCCCCUGGAUUCAUUGAAUGCCAUGGAUUGCACUGCCUGCCACUGCUCCAGGAGGGGAUCAAAAAUGAGGUUGGUGGUAAUCAUCAGACACCAAAAAGCAAUCUUUCUAACUUCAUCUUCUGCAGAUUUUGUUCAUCUUGAUACCAGUCUCAGAGUGCCGACAACUGGCUGUUCCAAGAAGGCCCUCCUACAUGAACACCUUCCAACAGCUCAAACAUGCAAGAAAUCCAGAGUUCCGAGUUAAAUCCUGCUCUUCUGUUUCAGAACAAUGGUUGAAGAUAAAUUGUCAUAUCAUACUCAGGCUGUGUGUGAUGUAGUAACCAACCAAGGAACCAUUUUCUUCACAUUAUUGGAUCAGAAGUGUACCUCUCUGGUAAACACCCAAUUAACUAUUCAGAUACAAAUAAUCCUAUGCUCGAAAGGAUGGGAAGAAAUUAUUUCUAACCAGUGAUACAUUACACAAGAAAUACCAAAAGAUUCUACAAGUUUUAUGGAUCCUAAAUAGUCGCAAUGUAAAUGUCUUUGCAGGGUAUAUACACCACUUAUUAUUUGAGGACUUGUAGCAUUCAGUUGAAUUUUUGUACCAUUCAUUCAACAUUAAAUUUGGACCAUAUGGAAAGGGGGAAGAGAAAAAGCUGGCCAGUCUUGACUAAGCUUGUGUGGCCUGCCUCAUGAUGAAGACUUCGAUGAUAAGAAUGGAAGGCAUGUGCAAUGGGACUCCGUGGCAGCAGGCGACAUCAAGACAUUGACACCCAAAUUGAGGUAUUGGACCACUAAAAUGCUGCAGUCUUCCCAUGUCGACGUACCACAAGCCACAAACAAGAAGGCCAGAGUUGUGAGCAGUAGUAGGAACUCGGUGCCGACUGGGACAAGAGUGUGGAUUUAAUGCCCUUAAAUGAGCUAAGAUUGUUGUGUUUUUGCUGCUGCUGCUGCUGUAAGGGAGAUGAAGAUUACAUUACAUCCUCUGGGGAUGAUCAACUUGGGAAUUUUAUUAUCUUUUUUCUGUUUAUGUUUCUGAUUAGGUGUUUCAUCCACUUUUUUGUGUGGAUGAGAUGGUCUCUCUCUCUCUCUCUGUGCAUCUGUGUAUCUAUCUAUACUUUAAUGCAGGGCGAAGUAGAGAUUUAGGUGUCGGCAGGGGCUAAACAUGGGAAAUGUUUGAAUUGUUGUUUUCUUGUUUACUUUGGAUUGCAUUUCCAACCAAAACCUGUGUUCAUCAAAGAGUAAGAAGAUGCCAAGAAAUUAUCAUAUUAGAGCUUCCCAAAAUGAACAAAGAAGUGAAUUCUUAUUAGUCAGAUGCUUACUGGUUCUUGAAGUCGACUCGAUCUUGAUUACAAGCAUGGCAUUUGGUGGGUGUGGAUUCAGUUGGACUCCCUCAUCUUGACUAGAAUUCUCCAGCAAUAAUAACACAGGAUCCUGUGGAAAAGCAAAUUGUUCCUACUCUUUUGUCUGAAUUGGAUGGUACAAGUGUAAAAGGUUUGCCAUCCAUUUCCUUUUGAUCAAGGAAAGAAAUCUUUGGUGAUGAAGCAGCACAUACAAAGGAAGAAUACAUUGUGAGAUGAGAGCAAGGAUUGUUUAGCAUCCUUCAGCAAAGCAAAAAAAUUGAGGCUCUCAUUAAAUUCUUCUCGAGUAAAGGAACAUAAAAAAAAAGAUUUUGAGUAAGAUCAGUGAUUUCUUCAGCUUACUCUUGAACUUGAUAGAUAAUAUGAUGAUUAGUUAUAAGAUCAUUGAAGAAUUUUAUUUGAUACACCUCCUACCACCAAAAUAGAUCUACAAUUAGAAAACCAAACUGCAGCAGAUACACAUGUUGUUCUGUCCUAUCUUCUAGUAGUAGUCCAGCCACCCCCAUUUUGUCAUGACAGAUAGGAAAACAUACAGAGGAUGACAUGAUUUAGAUGAUUGAAUUUUGUAUGCCUUUGCACAUGAUUCUUAUUACUAAAAGUAUAAGAUGAUUGAGAGACCCUCAGAAUUCAGUCCACAUCAUUUAUCAGUUGCACUUGUCUACAGAUGAUGAAUUUCUAGAUUCAAAUUACAGCAGGUCAAAAUGUUCUUGCCUACAAAAUAUUUCAAGCUGAAAUGGCAUUUGGUUGCAAACCAUUAGCCCCAAUGCAUAGGGAGGAUAUAUCAAGAAUGAGCUCUCAAGAUGCAGAAGGUGAUGUUCUUGCCUGCACCAAGCCUCACCUUACCAGUAAUAUAUCUGAGAAGUUCAGCAUCUGAUCCAAUCAUUUUGAGACCUAGCAGAUGGCAUCUGUCAUCUGAACAUAAAAAAAGAAAUAUUGUGAUGGAAAAAUGCAACAAAAUAAUAUUUUAUUCUUCGUUCUCUGAAGCCUGUUGGAUGGAGCUGAACACAUUGCAGACAUGAUGAAAUAAAUAUCAGGGAUCAAGCCAUGUGCAACUAAAAAAGAAUGUCUUAGAGAAACUAAAAGAAAUGUCUUCCUGCAGUGCUGCACCCUGAUCAUGGCAAUGCACCAAAGAUGUUAAUUAAUUGCAGUGCAUUAAAAUUUUGUGAGUUACCUUUUUAUUGCUUCAUGGAGGGAAUUCAGUUCUAUGAUUGAUUUUUGUUUAGUUUCUAUGUAACAAAACUAUUACAAUCACAAGUUUCCCUAAACCAAACUUACAUUUAAAGGUCCAAAAGACCAGUCUCAUCGACCAUUUGAUUUUGUGCUGAAGGUUAAAGAGAAAAAUUCUAAGCUAGUUUUACGGUAUCGCCGUCUUGACACAGUUAGCCUUGUCUGUUCAGUGAAGAUCAAGGAUCAUCCAUAGCUCUCUCCUAAGUUUCUUCUGAUACAAAACUCUGAAGUUGUUUGAAGAAAUAGUUUAAUAUCACUUGCUAAAUCUGGAGGUUCUUGGGCUUUGAAAUAAUGAUUUAAUUGGAACCUUUUCUAAUAUGCUUCACUUGUGCAUUCCAUAAGUAUUCAUGGUUGGAGUCGAAAGGAUGAUACUAACUUGCUUUGGUUGACAACAACUCUUCAUCAGAUAAUGUUGACAGUUGAUUAGCAUACACAUCAAAGAUUGCUAAUUGCAAUCACACAACUUGCUUAUAGUUUAAUUCCAAACAAAAUGAAUUUUUAGCUUCAAAGCAGAAAUCAAACUAAUCUAGUGUUGAACUAUUCGUCCCGAACUCGUACGACAGAAACAAAAGAUGGUGUGAUUGUUUUCGGUCAACCAAAUCAAAUUUUAGAUGCAAUUUAGUCAAUCUAAACGAUCUGUUCAGGGUCGACUAAAAUAGAAGGCCAACUCAAAUUCUGCUCAAGAUAAACCACAAUAUUUUUAGCAGAAUUUUGAUGCCACAUUCAGGAUCAAGUAGAUAAAAAGAACUCAUCAUUUGGUCCCUGUGAAAGAUCAGGAAGAACGACGUAUGGUUUAGAUGAAGUCAUUAAGCUAUAAAAGGUAAAAGCCAAAAGAUCGUGCCAAAGUAUACCGGUAAUGCGUAAACUUAUGCAUUCUGAAUCAAGAAGGAAUCUAAUGAAGAAAGUGAGGUGGAUUGAUGUACUCCACAAUUAUGCAACAGGCAGUAUGGACAUGUAGUUAAAUAGACUUGAAGAACAAAGUAAAUCACCACCGAGAGGAAAAAUCAUGAAUUUCUGAAAGCAAGAACAGUUAACGUGCAAAUCCACCAUAAUAGUCAUAAACCAAGUUGAUACAAACUCCGUUCUUAUCGUGUUCUCACAUAAGAGGGUUUAGUCGAAGACAAUCAGGUUGAUGUGAGUUAUCAUGCGAUUAAACACACGAAUCUCUGAAUCAAUAUAUGCAAGUCACAAUAGCAUUUCUGUGAGAUGAUCAGCAAUAUAUUCCUAAGGUUGUUCUCCAUGUCAUUCAACUGAAGCAGUAUGAAGAAGGCUAGGUAGCCACGAAUGAUAACAAGGAGCACUCCAAGAGAAUGACAGCAAGGUGAGCUUUGUUUGAUGCUUGCCAAACGGAAGAAACAAAGCAUAGUGCAUGUGUGAUGUGUGUCUCCAGAUUCUAGUUCAUCUCUUUGGCUCACUGCCCCAGAGACCUCAUAGUACUCUUUAAACUUUUAUGGCACAUGCCAUAGAACCUGAGAAGAUGCAAUUUAAGAUGUUUGAGGAACAAAGACAUGUGGGAGAUUGUGAGAGAGAGGAUUAAACUAAACAGGAGAUGUAUAAAGGGUUGAUGCUCAUUAGAUCUCUCAAGAUUUGGUUGUAUCCCUGUUCCCUCGGUCCAUUGCAUUGUCUCAAAGCUUGGUGAUGCCAGCAAUGAUAUUUAAUACAGGAAGCAAAUGGCUCAGGAGAGCAUGGGAAGCAAAACCAAACAUGUCCAUGUUCACACCCCUGUUUGGCUGUAUUUUUUGGGCUCCUCCCUAAUUGACUGUCAUGCGUUCGUAUUAUCUUAACUUUAGGGAACAUUUGCACUGUGACUCUGUUAAGAUGAGCUCUGUGGGGCUCUCUCUUGCAGAAUCACAGGACAAGGGGUUGGCCAUUAGUCAGAACAUAUUAUGUUGUUGUUGUUGAGUCUUCUUUUCCUUGGUGUCGUCGAGUGCCCACCAAAGAAAAGCUAUACUGCCACUGAUACUUCUUUUCUUUGCUCCCAUAUUGCUGCAACUACUCUUAGUUGCCACUUUGGCGGUGACCCUAUUGUUUUGCUUUCCUCUACCACCAUGGAUCAGAACAACUAAGAAAAAUGGAACUCUCUAAGACAAAUUACAUUUGUGCAUAUUGAUGUAACUAUGGAGCCACCAUCGUUACUGUCAAGAUGAUUCAUGUCAGCACACGUUAUUGGAUUACGAACGUAACUUGUUCACAUAGCAACAUACGAUCGAUUCUUAUAGUAAGCAAAUGGCUCUCCUCAGGCUGACACGAUUUAUUUGGUGCAUACAUGGCAAGCGUUGGCUUGGAUUAUAAAGGUUCAAUGAAAACACGGAUGCUCAGGAAAGGGAGCAGAUUCCUUGCUGGCUAUGUUGCCGGAAAGCCAAUCAAGUCCCUCGUACAAACCCUCACCAGAUGUUGCACAAGUUCUCUGUAUAUACCUGCGCAUAAUAAGUCCAGAAAUCCUCAUCUCCUUCUUCGCAAACAGGCAGCUAAAGAGUUUUGCAAAGGUAAGCCCCAUCGUUUUCUUCGCUAUCAGAAGCGAACCAUACACCCACGGAUCUAAGCAAGAACACGAAUGGCGCAUUGGAUUUGGCCAAGAAAUCAAGUUCAAGAUAUUAAAGAGGGGCAAAAUACUACAAGGUCUACACGAAUAGGUUGCGAUCCGAAAUCAACAAGGAGAAAAAGAGACUGGCCAACCGAUCAAUCAAGAAUCUCCAAACUAAAGGCAUCUGCGAUUCAAAAGGACUGUAACCGAUACUCAAAGCGAUCUUCUGAGCCAACAACCAAGAAAUAGAGGAGGGAGUUGUGGCUACCUGAGAUCUCGAAGGCCGGAUGGCGGAGGAGGCGAGGAUCAAGAGGGGUCUCCGCUUCCGCUCCUCGGCAUUGAGGGGAGAAAAGGUAAUUAACUAAAACAGAAUCUCCCAACUUAGAGGACAAUUCGAGGGACGAAGGAAGUCGGCAGGGACAGUGCGCUCGAUGUAGGCCACAUCCUCCAGUCAUGUACUCAGUCGGGGCAAACGUUAUCUAACAGACUGUUACAAGUAAUUAUCAGUUGUUGCAGUCAUAUAAUUCGGUCACAAGUAAACCCCUCAUCUAACAGACAGUUUUGUGUUAAAUUUGAUUCAAAUUAUCAAAUGAUUUAAGUUAAUCCUCAGACCAAGUGUCAGAUUUAUUCUCAUAAACGCAGAUCCAUACUACCGGCCAAAAGAUAAAUCAUCUGAAAUGGUCCAAAGACAUCAACUCUUACUUGGGACACUGAUGAACACAUUUUAUGCAUGAAAAUUCCAGAAAACUGAUAAUUUCUCACAGGCUACAGUACCACACCAAGUUUCUAAUACAUAAAACUCAGCACCGUAUGAUAUCAAAACAAAACAAUUGACACACGUACAUAUGUAGGUCAUCAUAAUCUUUAUAAGAUGUAAUACUUGCUUGAAUGAUGCUGGAAGAAUUGUCUUUUGAGAUCAUUAGAUAACACCAAUGAGAACACAUCAAUAAAUUUCAUGAAUAGAAAACAAAAAAGAAUAUCAACCAGUUAGUUUCUAUAUGAAUUCCUCAACACCAGUUCAAAGGUUGCCUUACCAGUUAGGUUAGUAGGCACAAAUACCACAACCACAAUUAUUCUUUUGAACCCUCGACAUCCAACUUGUGCUGGUUAUGAGCACAAGAAAGUGGGCGAGUGAUGAACUGGCAACUGAACAAUCAUAUAUCAAGUCCUGUUUCAUCCUCACAAAUUUGGAUUCAAUCAUAUCUUUUGAAAUAAUUAUCUCACUGCCGACAGCCAAGUUUGAUAAAUAGCAUUAAUCAAGAACGAACAGAUCAGUCAUAUAUCUCAUCAUCCCCACAUAAAUGACUAACCAUGCAUAUUAAAGAACACAUUUUUCCCUUUUACCUUGACGCAUGCAUCAUCUCUAUCACCAACUUGAGAAUGACCAAGCAAUUUACAUAACCUGCAUGUUUCACGCACUGUAGAAAAUUCUUGCUGUAAAGGAAUUCCCCAUUAUGUUAUAAACAUUUUCAGUAAAUAAUAAUUAGCCAUUAAUACUAGUUUCAAAAGGAAAAGUGAACAUUUGUUUUAUGCCACCGCAAAUUUCAAACUGUGGCAUGGCCCAUAGAAGAUCAACUCCCAACAACAACCAAUACUCCAAGGAUGCCACAAAUCGACCAACAGCCUCAUCUAAUCUUGGGAAAAUCUGGUUUAAUUUCUAACAAAUGGGGUUAAAGAUGAAAGACAGCACCCUAGAAGAGUAAAUAAUUUCAGGCGGGUUUGCAUAUCUUAUAGCUAAAGCAUAGAUAUACCACAAAAAAUCAUCCUUCAAAAACUUCUUCAAAUGUCAUUACGAAAAGAUCUAAACAACGGAGACAAAAUCCUCAGCAAUCAAUCAAUUCCAUAAUUACCUACAAACAAUCAAUCAAUUAGCUUCAUAAGACCUUAUGCAUUUAGUUUCACCUAAAGAAACAGCAUUCCAAAAUACCACUGCAAAUCUUCUAUCUACAUUUUGAAACCAAGACUUCCAAAUUUAUUUGUCUUUAAAGGGUGAUCCAGUGCUUAAUUUAGAAAUCACUAAAAGAGCAUUAAAAAUGAUCUUAGUGUUCCGACUGAUUCUGAAAAUCAUUAAACACAUUUCCACUAAAAUCUUCAGUUAUUUUCAAAGGAGAAAUAACGUCAAAUUGAUAUGAUGGACAUGUCUAACAUCUACAGAAACAUCACAAGCACCAAAUAUUAUUUCCAUAGGCUCUCCAAAAGGGAGAAAUUUUUCUAAACAAUAAAAAAAAUAACAACAAAAUCAAACUAAUUUUUUUUUCUGUCAACACAUGCUAUCUAACUGUUAGAUAUUUUUUACUGGGUCAUAUCUUUUUAAAUACCCAAAAAAUGAUUCAAAUAACCUUCAGCCAUUUCAUCCUACUCCUUGACUCCCAGCUGAAUUUUGUUAAACUUAGUGAUCUACAAAGACUAAUGUUCAUCAUUACAAAAAAGUGACAGCAAUGAAAACUUUAAACCACUUGAUGUUCUAGCUUCAUACCUCAUGCUGUGAUAAUAAAUGCUUUUCUCUGUAGAAUCCAAAUCAGAGGGACCACAUCAAGCUACAUUGUAAUUUCCACAAAGAUGGAAUACUUUGAAAGUUCAGUAGCUAUAAACUGGUGGUCAAACAAUUUGGUUUAAGGGCUCCUCAAAAGAAAGAAAAAGCAGAGAUUCCAAAUAGAACAGUAUAGAUGGGAUUAAGAAGUCAUUGCAGCAUUAGAUAACACCAUCUCAAACGAGACAAACAUGUGAAUUUAAGGAUCCAUUCAGUGACAUAUGAUACAUCACAGGAAUAUUGCCCUAAACAAACAAUCAAAACAGAUUUAAAUGAUGUUAAUUUGACCAGAAUUGACCCUAAAACAAAGCUCAAAUGGGGGAAAAGUUCCAUAUAACCAUCUCCACAUAGUUACAAAGUAAGGGCUUUCGCUAGCAUUGCUGCAGCCCAGGAAUUUGUUGAAAUUAAAGGAGAGCUGUUCAGCUAGAAUAGAUGCACCUUAGAUUAAUAAACAGCAAUAGCAAAAUAUAAACACUCUCGGUUUAACCAAAGAUAUUGCCCUAAACAGAGCUCAGUGGCAGGAAAAAGAAUCAUGUAUGCAACCCAAAAUGGCUGACACGUUAAGGCUUGCUUAUCAUUGUUAUGUUAUGGAAAUGAAGUGUUUCAGUAGAUCAAACAGAAAGAGAACUGAGAAGGGAGACAGAGAGGAACAGAGAUGAGAUGAGAAGGAAUACUGGUCCAGGGCAAAGACAAAAUUACUUCCAUCAUGUAAAACAAUUUCACCACAUAUGAAACAAAGCCAACCACAAGUAUUUAGUAUUGGAUAUACCAAGAUUCUCGAUGUCUUAGAUCAGGAUAUCUGUAACUCGAAUCAAAUAUAUCAUCAACAUCCUGCUAUCCCUUACAAGGACCAGCAGCCUUUCAAGCCCUAAAACAUUUUCAAUCCAGUUAAAAUACAUCUAUAUCAAUCACAAUUGAUGGAUCAUGUUGAGAAACUAAUAACAGCAAUGUAUGUUGGCCACUAGUGCACACUUCUAAAGGUUCCUAGAUGGACUCAAAUAAUGAAUCCAUGAAAUGAUUUACCUGAUCAAUAUUAACCAUUGAAGCAGAACCAUAAAAACAACAGUUUUAACAUGACCAAACCCACCCAAUCAGAACACUAGAUUAUACAGCGUGCAAAUUGCACAGGGAGCAAACCAAAGCGUUGAGACUUCUCCAUACCAUCCAAUCCAGUUUCAGGUGUCUAAUAACUGGGUGCAUCAAUAUACCAACAAGUACAAUAAAGGUAUCACUAAAUCAAAUAAAAGAAAGGCCUCACAUGAAAGAGAUGAAGUGAUGGAAAGCUUAAUCAUGAAUCAAUUAGCAAACACAUCAAAAUUGGGACUUAGAACAAAACUGAACCUGAACAAGCAUUACAAACCACAACAUUUGAACUAUUUCACCAUAAAAUAACCAGCAUUUUCAAAGUACAAAAGUAGGUUUCAAACGUUUCAUACUCACAUUUUGCAAAACAUGCAUAUAAUAAUAAUUAAAAAAAACCAACACCAUCAACUUAAAAUCAACUUUUUAAGAAAAUUACAUACAGAAACCAAGCCAAAUAAAUAAAAUGCUAAUGGUAUCUUACAAAUUAAAAUAAAUACCUGUAACUAGAAAAAAUUAAUAAUAUAGUCAACAAAUCAGAAAAAACAGUUUAAUAAACUAGAAAGGUCAAUAAUCUUUAAAUCCGCAAGGUUCUUUUACAAUUUAGCAACAAGUCAUUUAUAGGGCUUUAAGAAGCAAAUAUAGUAGCUCAAAAUACUGCAUAAGUGGAAAGGAUAAAAGAAAUUUAAGUAUCACAAGGUGGUUCCAAAAACUUGAGUUUAAAAUUCAUUGCAAACUACAGAAAAGAUGCAUUUCAUUGAGCGCAGAAGCAGGAACUCCAGAAGGAUCAUCUGCCCAGAACAAAAUAGAUUUAUGCACCUACAAAGGAUCUGCAAUAUAAGGAAGUGUGAAAUUAUAAAAAACCAAGCUUCGAACUAAAGAACUGUGCAUGAAAAAAAUUACUGCCAAGAAAACUUAUCCAUUCAAAUCCACAAUUAAUGGAUGGAAGUUACAAAAGGCAAUAACAAUUUGAUAAAAAGGCUGUAUAAGAUAAAAAUGAAAUAAUCAAAUGGAACCUGAUAGAAUCAAAAUUGAACAAGAAAAUCCAAACAAUAUGAUAGCUAAUGUAGGAAGCUUAGCAAUAAGUAUUUUGUAUAAGGGAAAAAGAUGAAAGAGGAUAUGACUUCAAACUAUUGAUGCAACUGGAUAUGCAAAUCAUGCAAUUAACCAGUUUUGAUGCCAACUGUGAAAGACAAUAAAGUUUCCAAAUAUGCAUAAAAACUAGAAAACCAAAGGUUGUCAAGAUGGUUGGCAUCUCACAUUUUCUAAUUACUUGUCAAACAGACAACAAAAAUUUAGCCUCAAAAGAUUUUGGAAAGCUAGAAUCAGCUGUGUUUUUUCUACCAGAAAAUAAUUCUAGAUGAAAGCAGAUAAUCGGGAAAGAAAACAAAUGCAAGACAUUUGAUGCUGAGAAAUGCCAAAUGUCAACUGAAGCUUUGACUAAUAUUACUCAUAAAACUUGCUAGACCACACCAUUCCACUAACGAGUUCACAAUCAAAGCACAGAGACAAUAGUACAUGUUCACGACAAAAGAGCAUAUUGAAGACAUUAUUGCAAAUUAAAAUUCUUUUAACAUCCAAUCAAUCAGUUACUUAACACCUCAUCAACAUUUUGCUAGGCAUUCAUCACAGAGAUAACCUAGUAAUAUUUCUAUGUUACAAAUGCAAUUAGUUGGAAUGUUGAAUGCUUGAGAUUUGAAGGUUAACAGUAAACAAAUGAUCAAUAUUAAAGAAGAAAGAAAUUGUUCAAACUAAGUUAUUUAUUUGAAGCAAAUUAGAGUAAAGAAUUCUUAUAAUUAUUUGCCCCGAUGUAUCUGCUGAGUAUUCCAUGAUGGCACUAGUAUAGUAUCAUAUCAUCCAAAUUCUGUCGAACUUACACAAGCAUUUCAAGUGAUCAAAAUUUUCAAAUCACCCACUGCAAUACAUUUAAAAAGUUACUGUAUGAUCCUAUAAAACUUUGACAUGUCCAUAACAAGCAAGUGAAUUGAACUUGUUACUCCUUUUUCGCUUCUUCAAAUAUUCUACUUCGUUUUGUAAAUCAAAGCUCUUUAAUGGGAUAGAUAUCACAUUAUUCAUUUAAAAUUAAAAGAAGACACAAUGUAAUUGUUCAAAGAAAAACAAAUUGAAGCAGAUGGAUGCAUAACAAUCAGAAGCAACUCUGUUUUCAGAGGAAAUGGAAAUGAAGAGAGGGGAAAAGAGAACCAAUGCAGGAUAUAUAGAGAACGAUGGUGUGUAUUCUUGCAUGGAAAUUUUCACAGAGAACACUUUUUACUUAAAAGACCUCCUUUCUGGUGCUUCCUUGACAGAGUAAUCAACCUUUUAUAGCUUAAUUAUUUAAUUCUCCUGAUUUUUUUAUUUUUUUCCAAAUAACAUUUUCAAUAUAUUACAUGAUUGAAAAUAUAAGGUUACAUGCAACAAUACAUAUAAAUAGUAGUCAUAACAAGAUCUAAAAUAUUCUCUAUAGCUUUAUGUAGAUAUUUUUAUCUUUUUUAUAAUUUUAUAAUGAUUAAUAUCUAUCAA